UAAAAAGUUAUUCAGAUAAGAAUGAAAUGAAAAAUAACGAUUUAGAAUAGCAGCCCAGGUUUGAGCAUGUCAGGUGGGGUUACUAUGUGCCAAGGUGUUUUUCAGUAAUUUUCAUUCUUUUACUAAGAAUUUUUUGCUUGUUUUUGUUCUUGGUAGAGCUAGGAAAGAAAGAAAGCAUAGAUUUUGAUUAAUUAUAGGUUUUAGUAGGAAAACGUUAAAUCUAAAUGCAGCACUUCAGAGGUUAGAGGUAGCUUCUGUAAGACCAGAGCUAAGCUCUGUGGCUUCCAGCGAGAGCUGCACACGGGGCUCAGAAGCCUCCGUCAUCAGCCACACGGACAAAAGGAGAUACCACGGAAGGAAGUGAAGGCACCGUGUUGCACAGACACAGAACUAGAUGUGGGACCCGCCCAGGCUUCCUGUGUACGGCAGCAGGACUUGGUGCUUCCAGUUCCCAUAAUGAAGGCGGAGGAAAGGACUGCCGUGUUCCGGGGUGACGGGUGCAGGAGCCCCUUUGGAGAGGACUACCCAGCAGCUCCCCAUGAGGGAGAGGGCCUGCGCUGCUGCUGGACACAGCAGGAUAAGGGUCUUCUGCUUGGAAUUGCAAUGAUGCGCCGUGGCAUGCUCCCUCAGGAAUGGCUGCAAGCCACAGCACAGCACCACUUGUGAGCAUAUGGGGGACGUGGGGGACGCGUGGCCAAGCUGAUAUGUGCUGCUCUGAGUCUCCAGCUGCCCUUUGUUUGGCCAUGUUUAGGUUGGUUUUGUUGAGAAUCACAGGAACAGAGGAUGAUCCCUUACGUGCCUCUGAAUCUAGAAUAGAAAUCUGCUGGCUGUAGUUUCUUUUUGUAAGCCGACAGAACCAGUGGAGAUUGUGUGUGUGUGUGUGUGUGUGUGUGUGUGUGUGUGUACAGGUACACAUGCACACAAGGACAGAGAUUAUUGCCCAGGGAAGACCUGGUGUUGCCACUCCAGUCUGGGGGGAAAUUGCGUCUCCCUGUGAGACCACAUUUUCUUAUGACCUUCAACUGACUAGAUGAGGCCCACCUACAUUGCUGAUGUACAUGUCCUUCUAGAAGAGUGCCUUCACAGAAAAACUUACAGUAAUGGUUGAGCACAUACCCAAGUACUGUGGCCCAGCCACCUUGACAGAGUUAGCUAAACCAUGACAUUGGUGCAGAUGCUGUAUUGCCCUCAUUUUGAUAGCGACUGCAGAGUGUUGAUGUGGAUCACUGAAAUGCUGCGUGGGACUGCAUUCCUUCCUCACUGGGGUUUGGGAGCAAGCCUCUGCCUUUGUGUGCAGAAAGCCUGACCCUGUAUACAGUGCAUCACUGGGAUCUCUGCCUAAAUGUCACAAGAAGUAGGUGAUGGACUGAUGGAGAAGAAAUGCCAUGCUAGCAGGAUUGCUCCCCGUCCACCCCACAUGGGGCCCAUCAGCCCUGCACGGAACCUCGGAACCUCAGGACCCCUUCUCCAGCCCAGCGUGAGACGGUUUUCUCCUAGGCCGGCGCCUCUGGCUGAGGUGAAGCCUGCAGCAGCUGACGCGGUCUCCUCAGGCAGCCGUGCUCUGCUGGCACCUGUUCCGUCUCACAGAACUCUGGGCUUGCCAGACUCUUCUACUGGAAAUACAUACCUCUGUAGCUUUAAAUGUUACAGCCUCCAAUAAAUGGUUUUCCUUUUCAACGUU
This is a long non-coding RNA of Canis lupus familiaris (dog), 1681 nucleotides long. RefSeq lists it as uncharacterized. The record is from RefSeq and is a predicted model, not a curated record. Lineage: Eukaryota; Metazoa; Chordata; Mammalia; Carnivora; Canidae. The transcript has 2 exons.